Molecule: ribosomal RNA, 433 nt
Filed under: uncultured bacterium
Lineage: Bacteria
Description: partial 16S ribosomal RNA
Rfam family: Bacterial small subunit ribosomal RNA
Source: RNAcentral
AACGAACGCUGGCGGCAUGCCUAACACAUGCAAGUCGAACGAACCCUUCGGGUCUAGUGGCGCACGGGUGCGUAACGCGUGGGAACCUGCCCUUAGGUUCGGAAUAACUCCCCGAAAGGGGUGCUAAUACCGGAUAAUGUCUUCGGACCAAAGAUUUAUCGCCUUUGGAUGGGCCCGCGUGGGAUUAGCUAGUUGGUAGGGUAAAAGCCUACCAAGGCGACGAUCCAUAGCUGGUCUGAGAGGAUGAUCAGCCACACUGGGACUGAGACACGGCCCAGACUCCUACGGGAGGCAGCAGUGGGGAAUAUUGGACAAUGGGCGAAAGCCUGAUCCAGCAAUGCCGCGUGAGUGAUGAAGGCCUUAGGGUUGUAAAGCUCUUUUACCCGGGAUGAUAAUGACAGUACCGGGAGAAUAAGCUCCGGCUAACUCCGUG